CGAGACGGCACCUCGUACGGGGUCCGUCCGAGCCGCUUCGGCGGCCGGAUGCAAGGACCCGCGAUGACCCGUAGGGGUGAGAGGAGUUCGCGCAUG
Molecule: non-coding RNA, 96 nt
Filed under: unclassified sequences
Description: malK-III RNA
Rfam family: malK-III RNA
Source: RNAcentral